Molecule: ribosomal RNA, 1510 nt
Filed under: Neobatrachus pictus
Lineage: Eukaryota; Metazoa; Chordata; Amphibia; Anura; Limnodynastidae
Description: partial 16S ribosomal RNA
Rfam family: Bacterial large subunit ribosomal RNA
Source: RNAcentral
UAAGUAUACCGGAAGGUGUGCUUGGAACCGAAAUGUAGUAUAACCAAAACAACUUGCUUACACCAAGCCGAUAUCUGUGAAACCCGGAUCAUUUCGAGCCUAACCUUUAGCCCACCAACCCCUCAUGAACUUCUUACACCACCAUGAUUCAACCAAAACAUUUUUACAAUCUAGUAGAGGCGAUCGAAAAAUCCUCAGGAGCUAUAUAAUCUGUACCGCAAGGGAACAAUGAAAUAGAAAUGAAAGAACACUAAAGCGCAACAAAGUAAAGACAUACCCUUGUACCUUUUGCAUCAUGGUCUAGCAAGUCUAAUCAAGCAAAACGACCUAAAGUUUGACUUCCCGAAACCAAGCGAGCUACUUCAAGGCAGCUUUUAGAGCCCACCCGUCUCUGUUGCAAAAGAGUGGGAUGACCUUCAAGUAGGGGUGACAGACCUAACGAGCUUGGUGAUAGCUGGUUGCCUGAGAAACGGAUCUAAGUCCACCCUUAAAUUCAUUUAACCUUAUAUAGUGAGCCACUAAUUUAAGAGUCAUUCAAAUAAGGUACAGCUUAUUUGAAACCGGAAACAACCUCCACAAUUGGGUAAUGCCCCUUUAAGUGUGAAAAAGUAGGCCUAAAAGCAGCCACCUGAAUAAAAAGCGUCAUAGCUUAAACACACCCCAAACAUCAAUACCACCACCCUAACAAAACCCCUCUCCAAUAUCAAGCAAUUCUAUAAAAAUAUAGAAAAACUUAUGCUGGAACUAGUAACAAGAAACAGACCUUCUCUCCAAUAUGAGUGUAUAUCAAAAUGGACACACCAUUGAUAAUUAACGCCACUGAACCUAUAGUAGUAACCCACCAAGAAAACCCUACUACCCCCAAACGUUAACCUAACACUAGAAUAUUUCGAGAAAGAUUAAAAAAAAGGGAAGGAACUCGGCAAAUAUUAACCUCGCCUGUUUACCAAAAACAUCGCCUCUUGAAACAUAUAAGAGGUCCAGCCUGCCCAGUGACCAUGUUCAACGGCCGCGGUAUCCUGACCGUGCGAAGGUAGCGUAAUCACUUGUUCUUUAAAUAAGGACUAGUAUGAAUGGCAUCACGAGGGUUAUACUGUCUCCCCUUUUUAAUCAGUGAAACUAAUCUUCCCGUGAAGAAGCGGGAAUAUCCUUAUAAGACGAGAAGACCCCAUGGAGCUUUAAACAAACAGCAUAUGCUCACCUCACUAAUUCUCCUUAAAGUCAAGCAUUGUGACUGCUAGUUUUCGGUUGGGGCGACCACGGAGAACAACACAUCCUCCGCGUUGAAAGAGUUCUACUCUUAGCUAAGAGCUACACCUCUAAGUAUCAACACCUUGACAUCCAUUGACCCAAUAAAAUUGAUCAACGAACCUAGUUACCCUGGGGAUAACAGCGCAAUCCAUUUCAAGAGCCCCUAUCGACAAAUGGGUUUACGACCUCGAUGUUGGAUCAGGGUAUCCCAGUGGUGCAGCCGCUACUAAAGGUUCGUUUGUUCAACGAUUAAAACCCU